Molecule: long non-coding RNA, 451 nt
Filed under: Jatropha curcas
Lineage: Eukaryota; Viridiplantae; Streptophyta; Magnoliopsida; Malpighiales; Euphorbiaceae
Description: long non-coding RNA (JCUR_LNC003037)
Source: RNAcentral
GGAGCUACUGCGAGGGCGAGCGGCAGCGAGGUGGCGCGAUCGCCCUGGUGCCGCUGCUGCUGCUCUGUUUCUCGCCAGAAACGCAACGCAGGUGAAGAGAAAGGAGAAGGAAAGAAAGAAAAGAAGAGAAAGGAGGAAGAGAAGAAGAGGAGGUGGCAGUGGUGGCGCUGCUGGAGGUGUUGCAGAAAUGGUGAGGGGAGGGUGAAGUUUGCGCUGGAUAUAGAGGGGAGAGGCUUCUAGAAGUGGUUUGGGCUGAUUCGAUUUGAUUUCGAUUCGAUUCGGCCCAAAUCUUGGUUUUUGUUUGAUUUUUCAAUUUUCAAUUGGUUUUCGAUUCGGUUUAUCACUGUACAAAUUAUUAAUUCACGUUUAAAUAUUUAAAUACAUUUUCCACGCUGUCAGUUUAUUAAAUUUAAACGAAAAAUCUUUGAAAAUAAAAAUUCUGGUUAUUUCA